This 1042-nucleotide long non-coding RNA is filed under the name Anas platyrhynchos platyrhynchos (common mallard). Its description in RNAcentral is "lncRNA (ENSAPLG00000017157.1)". Lineage: Eukaryota; Metazoa; Chordata; Aves; Anseriformes; Anatidae. The record is from RNAcentral.
UUAUUAUUUGCUUGUUAUUUUUUGCUAUGGCUAUAAGAGAAUGAAUGUAUUCACCCAUUCUGCAUGUUGUCCCAGCCUCUUAAUUGCAGAGAAGGAUUAAACACUGAAAAUGUGUGCGUUUGUGUGUGUGAUGGUUUUGGCUCAGACAGAGUUAAUUUUCUUCAUAGAGGAAACACAAUGUAGUGUCUUCGAUUUUUGAUGAAAAUAAUGGUGAUAGCACAUUGAUGUCUGUAGUUGUUGCAGAGCGGUGCUUACACAGAACCAAGGACUUUUUAGUUCUGGCAAGGAGGCUGGGGGCACACCAGGUGCUGAGAGGGGACACAGCCAAGACAGCUGGCCCAGGCUGCCCAACGGGAUGUCCUAUGUCAUGUAGAGUCAUGCUCAGCAAUGUAAGUUGAGUGAAAGGAGGAGGAAGUGGGGGAUGUGCAGAGUGAUGGUAUUUGUCUUCCCAAGAAACUAUUCUGCAUGAUGAACUCUGCUGUCCUGGGAGUGGCUGAGCACCUGCCUGGUGGUGGGAAGUAGCAAAUAAAUUCCUACAACUAAUUUCUUAGACACAAGAUUGAAUGAAGUACACGAAUGCAUAAGGAAGUAGACCACUCUGCCUUUUUAAUUCAUCCUCCUUCCCAUCCAGCUGUAAAAUCACCUGUAAAUUCAUUGUCCUUUUUGACUUCAGUACCAGAACAUGCAGUACCUCAACACAUGCCAAAACCAAGAGCAGAAAAGAAAAGCCCUCUAUGGAGCAGAAAAUGAAGCUACAUCCAAGGAUUUUGAGGUGGCUUUUAUUUACAAAAAGGAUAUAUCUUAUCCUGUUGAAUGAGGUAUGGUUUUUGUUUGUUUGGUAGAUUUUUGGUUUUGUCACCUUUGUGAUUACUUUUCUUUUUAUGAAGGUUUUGCAAUAUGUAGCUAGAUAGAUGCCCACUAAAUGCAGUUAUACAGUUGAUCCAUUUAUUAUCUCGCAGCUCAUUAUAUGUUGUAUUUUAUCAUUUGUUUCUGUAUGGAAUAUUAGACAGUUAACAUGUCACCUUUAGCUCAUGUCCAGAAG